UGAGUCAAAGUUGGAGGCUGAAGAUCACAUUAAAGAAACACAAAAUGCAGAUGAGACAAUAAAGGCUACCAUCUUAACUGAAGAGGUGCACAAAGAAGUUGAGAAAGCUGAUUUUGAUGAAACUGUCAAACACCUUAACAAGGAAGAGAAUGAUAUACAGGANACAGAAAAUUCACACUGUAUCCACUGAAGAUGAAAGAGAAGAUGAGGUGAAAGAAUUCAGCCUUGUAUCCACCGAAUCUCUUAAAGCAACAGACUCCAAUGAACAGACAGAAACAAUAAGCUCAGAGGUUCAAGUACCACAAGCCGUGGAAAAAGAUAUAGUAGCUACAAAAGGAAAGGAAGAAAGAGAAUUGGAAGAUGCAGAUAGUGAAAAGACUGUAAGCCUCUCACCCAUUAUACCAACAAAAGAAUCGGAAGAAAAAAUUAAGGAGCAGAUCUUAGAGGAUGCAGAUAGUGGUUAUGACAAUAUAAAG
Molecule: unclassified non-coding RNA, 476 nt
Filed under: Hevea brasiliensis (rubber tree)
Lineage: Eukaryota; Viridiplantae; Streptophyta; Magnoliopsida; Malpighiales; Euphorbiaceae
Source: RNAcentral